Molecule: ribosomal RNA, 429 nt
Filed under: Actinomycetes bacterium
Lineage: Bacteria; Bacillati; Actinomycetota; Actinomycetes
Description: Actinobacteria bacterium partial 16S ribosomal RNA
Rfam family: Bacterial small subunit ribosomal RNA
Source: RNAcentral
UAGGGAAUCUUCCGCAAUGGGCGAAAGCCUGACGGAGCAACGCCGCGUGAGUGAUGAAGGUCUUCGGAUCGUAAAACUCUGUUAUUAGGGAAGAACAAAUGUGUAAGUAACUAUGCACGUCUUGACGGUACCUAAUCAGAAAGCCACGGCUAACUACGUGCCAGCAGCCGCGGUAAUACGUAGGUGGCAAGCGUUAUCCGGAAUUAUUGGGCGUAAAGCGCGCGUAGGCGGUUUUUUAAGUCUGAUGUGAAAGCCCACGGCUCAACCAUAGAGGGUCAUUGGAAACUGGAAAACUUGAGUGCAGAAGAGGAGAGUGGAAUUCCAUGUGUGGCGGUGAAAUGCGCAGAGAUAUGGAGGAACACAAGUGGCGAAGACGACUUUCUGGUCUGUAACUGACGCUGAUGGGCGAAAGCGUGGGGAUCAAACAGG